This 399-nucleotide ribosomal RNA is filed under the name Rhodococcus erythropolis. RNAcentral's name for it is "bacterial SSU rRNA". It matches the Rfam family "Bacterial small subunit ribosomal RNA", at positions 52 to 455 of the family's 1533-position model. The record is from RNAcentral. Lineage: Bacteria; Bacillati; Actinomycetota; Actinomycetes; Mycobacteriales; Nocardiaceae.
UACCAUGCAGUCGAGCGGUAAGGCCUUUCGGGGUACACGAGCGGCGAACGGGUGAGUAACACGUGGGUGAUCUGCCCUGCACUUCGGGAUAAGCCUGGGAAACUGGGUCUAAUACCGGAUAUGACCUCCGGUUGCAUGACUGGGGGUGGAAAGAUUUAUCGGUGCAGGAUGGGCCCGCGGCCUAUCAGCUUGUUGGUGGGGUAAUGGCCUACCAAGGCGACGACGGGUAGCCGACCUGAGAGGGUGACCGGCCACACUGGGACUGAGACACGGCCCAGACUCCUACGGGAGGCAGCAGUGGGGAAUAUUGCACAAUGGGCGAAAGCCUGAUGCAGCGACGCCGCGUGAGGGAUGACGGCCUUCGGGUUGUAAACCUCUUUCAACAGGGACGAAGCGCAA